RNAcentral lists this ribosomal RNA (2912 nucleotides) under Escherichia coli. RNAcentral's name for it is "bacterial LSU rRNA". It matches the Rfam family "Bacterial large subunit ribosomal RNA". The record is from RNAcentral. Lineage: Bacteria; Pseudomonadati; Pseudomonadota; Gammaproteobacteria; Enterobacterales; Enterobacteriaceae.
UUAAGCGACUAAGCGUACACGGUGGAUGCCCUGGCAGUCAGAGGCGAUGAAGGACGUGCUAAUCUGCGAUAAGCGUCGGUAAGGUGAUAUGAACCGUUAUAACCGGCGAUUUCCGAAUGGGGAAACCCAGUGUGUUUCGACACACUAUCAUUAACUGAAUCCAUAGGUUAAUGAGGCGAACCGGGGGAACUGAAACAUCUAAGUACCCCGAGGAAAAGAAAUCAACCGAGAUUCCCCCAGUAGCGGCGAGCGAACGGGGAGGAGCCCAGAGCCUGAAUCAGUGUGUGUGUUAGUGGAAGCGUCUGGAAAGGCGCGCGAUACAGGGUGACAGCCCCGUACACAAAAAUGCACAUUGCUGUGAGCUCGAUGAGUAGGGCGGGACACGUGGUAUCCUGUCUGAAUAUGGGGGGGACCAUCCUCCAAGGCUAAAUACUCCUGACUGACCGAUAGUGAACCAGUACCGUGAGGGAAAAGGCGAAAAGAACCCCGGCGAGGGGAGUGAAAAAGAACCUGAAACCGUGUACGUACAAGCAGUGGGAGCCUCUUUAUGGGGUGACUGCGUACCUUUUGUAUAAUGGGUCAGCGACUUAUAUUCUGUAGCAAGGUUAACCGAAUAGGGGAGCCGAAGGGAAACCGAGUCUUAACUGGGCGUUAAGUUGCAGGGUAUAGACCCGAAACCCGGUGAUCUAGCCAUGGGCAGGUUGAAGGUUGGGUAACACUAACUGGAGGACCGAACCGACUAAUGUUGAAAAAUUAGCGGAUGACUUGUGGCUGGGGGUGAAAGGCCAAUCAAACCGGGAGAUAGCUGGUUCUCCCCGAAAGCUAUUUAGGUAGCGCCUCGUGAAUUCAUCUCCGGGGGUAGAGCACUGUUUCGGCAAGGGGGUCAUCCCGACUUACCAACCCGAUGCAAACUGCGAAUACCGGAGAAUGUUAUCACGGGAGACACACGGCGGGUGCUAACGUCCGUCGUGAAGAGGGAAACAACCCAGACCGCCAGCUAAGGUCCCAAAGUCAUGGUUAAGUGGGAAACGAUGUGGGAAGGCCCAGACAGCCAGGAUGUUGGCUUAGAAGCAGCCAUCAUUUAAAGAAAGCGUAAUAGCUCACUGGUCGAGUCGGCCUGCGCGGAAGAUGUAACGGGGCUAAACCAUGCACCGAAGCUGCGGCAGCGACACUAUGUGUUGUUGGGUAGGGGAGCGUUCUGUAAGCCUGUGAAGGUGUACUGUGAGGUAUGCUGGAGGUAUCAGAAGUGCGAAUGCUGACAUAAGUAACGAUAAAGCGGGUGAAAAGCCCGCUCGCCGGAAGACCAAGGGUUCCUGUCCAACGUUAAUCGGGGCAGGGUGAGUCGACCCCUAAGGCGAGGCCGAAAGGCGUAGUCGAUGGGAAACAGGUUAAUAUUCCUGUACUUGGUGUUACUGCGAAGGGGGGACGGAGAAGGCUAUGUUGGCCGGGCGACGGUUGUCCCGGUUUAAGCGUGUAGGCUGGUUUUCCAGGCAAAUCCGGAAAAUCAAGGCUGAGGCGUGAUGACGAGGCACUACGGUGCUGAAGCAACAAAUGCCCUGCUUCCAGGAAAAGCCUCUAAGCAUCAGGUAACAUCAAAUCGUACCCCAAACCGACACAGGUGGUCAGGUAGAGAAUACCAAGGCGCUUGAGAGAACUCGGGUGAAGGAACUAGGCAAAAUGGUGCCGUAACUUCGGGAGAAGGCACGCUGAUAUGUAGGUGAAGCGACUUGCUCGUGGAGCUGAAAUCAGUCGAAGAUACCAGCUGGCUGCAACUGUUUAUUAAAAAACACAGCACUGUGCAAACACGAAAGUGGACGUAUACGGUGUGACGCCUGCCCGGUGCCGGAAGGUUAAUUGAUGGGGUUAGCGGUAACGCGAAGCUCUUGAUCGAAGCCCCGGUAAACGGCGGCCGUAACUAUAACGGUCCUAAGGUAGCGAAAUUCCUUGUCGGGUAAGUUCCGACCUGCACGAAUGGCGUAAUGAUGGCCAGGCUGUCUCCACCCGAGACUCAGUGAAAUUGAACUCGCUGUGAAGAUGCAGUGUACCCGCGGCAAGACGGAAAGACCCCGUGAACCUUUACUAUAGCUUGACACUGAACAUUGAGCCUUGAUGUGUAGGAUAGGUGGGAGGCUUUGAAGUGUGGACGCCAGUCUGCAUGGAGCCGGCCUUGAAAUACCACCCUUUAAUGUUUGAUGUUCUAACGUUGGCCCCUGAUCGGGGUUGCGGACAGUGUCUGGUGGGUAGUUUGACUGGGGCGGUCUCCUCCUAAAGAGUAACGGAGGAGCACGAAGGUUGGCUAAUCCUGGUCGGACAUCAGGAGGUUAGUGCAAUGGCAUAAGCCAGCUUGACUGCGAGCGUGACGGCGCGAGCAGGUGCGAAAGCAGGUCAUAGUGAUCCGGUGGUUCUGAAUGGAAGGGCCAUCGCUCAACGGAUAAAAGGUACUCCGGCGAUAACAAGGCUGAUACCGCCCAAGAGUUCAUAUCGACGGGCGGUGUUUGGCACCUCGAUGUCGGCUCAUCACAUCCUGGGGGCUGAAGUAGGUCCCAAGGGUAUGGCUGUUCGCCAUUUAAAGUGGUACGCGAGCUGGGUUUAGAACGUCGUGAGACAGUUCGGUCCCUAUCUGCCGUGGGCGCUGGAGAACUGAGGGGGGCUGCUCCUAGUACGAGAGGGACCGGAGUGGACGCAUCACUGGUGUUCGGGUUUGUCAUGCCAAUGGCAACUGCCCGGUAGCUAAAUGCGGAAGAGAUAAGUGCUGAAAGCAUCUAAGCACGAAACUUGCCCGAGAUGAGUUCUCCCUGAGACUUAGAGUCUCCUGGAAGGAACGUUGAAGACGACGACGUUGAUAGGCCGGGUGUGUAAGCGCAGCGAUGCGUUGAGCUAACCGGUACUAAUGAACCGUGAGGCUUAACCUU